AAUUUUCUCUUAGUUCAUUAAGCCGAAGUAGAUGUAUGUUGAUUGAUUGAUUGUUGGAGAGACAAAGUUACCAUUCCAGGGAGAUGGGAAAGCAUAAAGGCAACUCUUGCAGCGCUUAAUUUUGUGAUUGGUGAUCUGCUUGGUCCUGGACCACAUGUUUUAGCUGCGUUCUCCGCGCUGCCCUACCCGGUCCUCCACGGGGAUAGCUGCGCUCUGUUUGGGGAUGAAUCCAUCGUCCUUUUAAACGUAGGCUCACAACAUCCCUGUGCGGCAUGUUACCAACGGGCAGCUCCUUUCCAAGUAAGGCUUCCCGCAAUCGCAUUUCCCGCAAAGGUAUUCAGUAGAUGAACCAAGCCGUUGUCUCCUAUACUUGCAAGGUUUGAUUUCAGUUAUACAUACUAG
Molecule: long non-coding RNA, 402 nt
Filed under: Volvox carteri
Lineage: Eukaryota; Viridiplantae; Chlorophyta; Chlorophyceae; Chlamydomonadales; Volvocaceae
Description: long non-coding RNA (VCAR_LNC002524)
Source: RNAcentral